This 460-nucleotide ribosomal RNA is filed under the name uncultured bacterium. Its description in RNAcentral is "partial 16S ribosomal RNA". It matches the Rfam family "Bacterial small subunit ribosomal RNA", at positions 29 to 523 of the family's 1533-position model. The record is from RNAcentral.
AACGAAUGCUGGCGGCAGGCCUAAUACAUGCAAGUCGAACGAGAAAGUUCUUUCGGGAAUGAGUAGAGUGGCGCACGGGUGAGUAACGCGUGGGAAUGUGCCCUUAGGUAGGGAAUACCAGUUGGAAACGACUGCUAAUACCCUAUGAUGUCUUCGGACCAAAGAUUUAUCGCCUAAGGAUCAGCCCGCGUAGGAUUAGCUAGUUGGUGAGGUAAUGGCUCACCAAGGCAACGAUCUUUAGCUGGUCUGAGAGGAUGAUCAGCCACACUGGAACUGAGACACGGUCCAGACUCCUACGGGAGGCAGCAGUAAGGAAUAUUGGACAAUGGGGGAAACCCUGAUCCAGCCAUGCCGCGUGAGUGAUGAAGGCCUUAGGGUUGUAAAGCUCUUUUAACGGUGAAGAUAAUGACGGUAACCGUAGAAUAAGCCCCGGCUAACUUCGUGCCAGCCGCCGCCGUAA